UUAGAGUUUGAUCCUGGCUCAGGAUGAACGCUGGCGGCGUGCUUAACACAUGCAAGUCGAACGAAGCACCGGAAGCUUGCUUUUGGUGACUUAGUGGCGGACGGGUGAGUAACGCGUGGGUAACCUGCCUCACACAGGGGGAUAACAGUUGGAAACGACCGCUAAUACCGCAUAACCCGCUAGGGCCGCAUGGCCCGGACGGAAAAGGUUUAUCGGUGUGAGAUGGACCCGCGUCUGAUUAGAUAGUUGGCAGGGUAACGGCCUACCAAGUCGACGAUCAGUAGCCGGCCUGAGAGGGUGAACGGCCACAUUGGGACUGAGACACGGCCCAAACUCCUACGGGAGGCAGCAGUGGGGAAUAUUGCACAAUGGGGGAAACCCUGAUGCAGCGACGCCGCGUGAGUGAAGAAGUAUUUCGGUAUGUAAAGCUCUAUCAGCAGGGAAGAAAAUGACGGUACCUGACUAAGAAGCCCCGGCUAACUACGUGCCAGCAGCCGCGGUAAUACGUAGGGGGCAAGCGUUAUCCGGAUUUACUGGGUGUAAAGGGAGCGUAGACGGCAGGGCAAGUCAGAAGUGAAAGCCCGGGGCUCAACCCCGGGACUGCUUUUGAAACUGUCCGGCUGGAGUGCAGGAGAGGUAAGCGGAAUUCCUAGUGUACCGGUGACAUGCGUAGAUAUUAGGAGGAACACAGUGGCGAACGCGGCUUACUGGACUGUAACUGACGUUGAGGCUCGAAAGCGUGGGGAGCAAACAGGACUAGAUACGCUGGUAGUCCACGCAGUAUACGAUGCAUACUAGGUGUCGGGGAGCAUAGCUUUUCGUUGCAGCAGCAAACGCAAUAAGUAUUCCACAUGAGGGAGUACGAUCGCAAGAAUGAUACUCAAAGGAAUAGACGGGGACCCGCACAAACGUUGGAGCAUGUGGUUUAAUUUGAAGCUACGCGAAGAACUUUACCAAAUGAUAGACAUCCCACAUGACCGAUACAGUUAUGGGAUCAUUCGUUCGGGACAGUGGAGACAGUUGGCGCAUGGUCUAGAUCAGCUAGUGUCGCGAGAUGUUGGGUUAGGUCCCGCGUCGAGCUCAACCUUUACCUGUAGUACCCAUCAAGAAAGAUGGGCAUUGUAGAGGGGGUAGGCGGGAUCACUUGGAGGAAGGUGGGGAUAACGUCGUAUUAUCAUCCCCGAUAUGCAUUUGGGCUACACACGCAUUAGCCCUGGCGUGGACUAUAGGGAAGUGAGCCUGUGAGGGGGAGCAUAUCUCAGAGAUUAAGUCUCAGUACGGAUGGUAGUCUGCAACUUGAGUACAUGAAUCUGCAAUCGCUAGUAAUCGCGGAUCAGUAUGUCUCGCAGAAUACGUUCACCGGGUCUUGUACACACCGCCAGUCA
RNAcentral lists this ribosomal RNA (1385 nucleotides) under uncultured bacterium. RNAcentral describes it as "16S ribosomal RNA". It matches the Rfam family "Bacterial small subunit ribosomal RNA". The record is from RNAcentral.